Globicephala melas (long-finned pilot whale) is the source of this 4101-nucleotide long non-coding RNA. RefSeq lists it as uncharacterized. Lineage: Eukaryota; Metazoa; Chordata; Mammalia; Artiodactyla; Delphinidae. The record is from RefSeq and is a predicted model, not a curated record.
ACAUGCCGCGGAGCGGCUGGGCCCGUGAGCCAUGGCCGCUGAGCCCGUGCGUCUGGAGCCUGUGCUCCGCAACGGGAGAGGCCACAACAGUGAAUCUCCGCUGUACUGGGAACUGGCGCUUUCCUCACAUAACUCUGCAAGGCAGGUGUUACUAUCUCCAUUUAACAGAGUAGCAGCAAAGGCCCAGAGAGGUUCAUUGCUUGAUUAGGGUCACACAGGUAGUAGCGAUAGGAGGCUGAGUCUUUAUCCCUUCUACCCUGUUGCCUGCUUUUAGGUGUGCUUCACACCCACGUGUGCAGACAUCCAUGGAGCCAGGAUAAAAUGUCAUGCCAAUGGUCUCCAUUUUGGAGUCACUAAUCAUUUUAGCCUAUUUAACCAACACCAGAUUCUGGAAUUUAAUAAAUAAUGCUACACCAUCCAUAAAUGUCGAAAGAGCCCAACUGUGAUUUGCGCCUUAUGUGAAUACUGCAUUGUAACUGAGCCAGGAGAAGCCGUUGAACUAGCCUUCUAAGUGACAGCAUCUUAAAAGAGAUUUCUCAUCGGACAGUUUGGUGUGGAGGGUGGUCAGAUGCUUUCUUAUUAGAACAAUGCCCACAUAGAUUUCAAAUGAAAUUCUGGGGCUCCUCAAGAUUUGUUUAAAGAGAAAGAGGGGGUCAGCAGGACAUUAAUGAAGAAAGGGAAGAAAAAGCUUCUACUUGGUCACCUCGAGUUAGAAAAUUUCCAUUUCAACAUUGUCAAUCCCUCACCUCUCACGUGUAUAAAUUCACUACCAAAGGCCAAAAUAUUCUCUUUCUUUUCUUUCCUUUUUUUUUCUCUCUUGCCACAAAACCAGCUCUUAUUUAGGUCUCUUGCAAAGCAGCACAAACCAACUGUUCCUCCUCAGAUUAUCCCUUUCAGGGCUCAGGUGAUAUGCCUCCUUGGGUUAUACCUUCCCUGUUUUGUGGUCUGAUGUGUGCUGUGUCAUUCUAUAGUAUUCCACUUUGCAAGAAAAUAUUUAUGUAUGAGUCUCAUUAGGUCCCAUUUCCUCUGGGAAUGGUCCUGCGUGCAGUGUUUUCAUGCCAGCGGCAGGCAGUGAAUCGCUGGUCUUCAUGGGACAACUGGACAGCUGGCAGGAAACCAGGAAACUUCUCCUUCCCUUCUGUGACUUCGCUCAGCCAGAAAACUACAAGGUGUGUGACUGUAGGAUGAAAAGUUCCUGAGAGGUUGAAUGUAACACUUUGAGAAAACACUUGGACGGAAACUUGCUGAUGUUGAAGGAAUGGAAAUGUGUACCAUUCAAAGAAUGUUUUUUUCCUAGAUCUGGAAACACAAUGGCUUACGUAUACAGAGUCUUUUCAUUAUUUUAAUUUUUUUCUUUUUAUUACUGGUAAAUAGGAAUUCCCAUUAUUCACCAAAGAGCAGCGAAACUGACACCCUGUAUAGCUGAGAUGAGGGUACGUUGGCAAAACCCUUUUGGAAACUCAUUUGACCAUGUGUAUCAAGAGCCAUGAGAUUUUUUUAUAACCCAUGACCAAUUAAUUUUUACUUCUAGGAAUCCAUUCUCAGUACCAAAAAGGUUAUGCUCGAAAAUGUUCAUCAAACUCUUGCUUAUAAUAGUUAGAACAGGAAAUGGAAGUAUAAAAUAUUUUCUUGAUAUUCAUUGUUAUGCAGCUGCUGUAAUAAUAUUGAAAUAGGAUAUGCACUCUUAAUGAUUACAAAUACACAGGCAAAAUAUGCAGAAUUAUAAUAAUAGAUAAAAUUUAUUCUCUGCUUAAUAUAUAAAAGGCAAUGUGUCAAAUGCUUUAUAGUCAUGUCUCCUUUAAUCUGCUCACCAGAUUAAGCCAAAUUUAUUAUAUCUCCAUUUUACAGAUGAGGAAAGAGAGUCACAGGAAUUGGUUUAUCUAGAGUAACACUGCUAGGGUGAAAUUUGAACCCCAUCCUGGUUGAUGACAGACCUUACACAACAUGCAAUUCCUCAUGCUAUGUGGUUAAUUUUGAGUAAAAAAAACAAUCAUCAACCACAAAAGAAGAAAGAAAGAAAGAAAAAAGCACCCCAAACUAAAGGCAACCCAACACCAAUAAACAAACAUCUGACAAGCUCUAUUCUUAUGAUAAUCACAUGAAAAAGUAAAUAGGAAAGCUUAAACCAAGAGAAAACAGCCAAACUUGAAAAGACUCAUCUUCCACCAGUUAAUAAAAUGACAGGUAGCUAUCUGAAACAACACUUAAAUGUUUAAGGUCUUUCCUCUGGAUGGGAAUUAGAUCCUACAUUUUUUUUUUUAACAUCUUUGUUGGAGUAUAAUUGCUUUACAAUGGUGUGUUAGUUUCUGCUGUAUAACAAAGUGAAUCAGCUAUUCCUAUACAUAUAUCCCCAUAUCCCCUUGACAUGUCUGAUCUUUUACUAAGAGAAUCUAAGUAAUAUUAUUCUGCCAACUUAAAGAAGCAAAUCUUAAUGAGAGCAAUUCUUGUAUGCAGAUGGAAAAGACUCUGUCCAGGGUGAAUUGAAAAUUUUCUGGUGGACUGUGUCCUAGACCAGUGGUUCUUAACUUACUUUGUGUGAGAACAUAUUUGAAAAUACUAAUGAUAACUAUGGUCUGUCUCUGUUUUUCUCAUUUCUCAUUUCUCAGUAUCCAUCUGGGAUUGCUUCCUGGACCUCCGAGGAUACCAAAAUCCACAGAUGCUCAAGUCCCUUGUAUAAAUGAUGUAGUACAAUUGGCCUUCCCUAGUGGCAGGUUCCGAAUCCACAGAUUCAUCCAACUGCGGAUCAAAUUUUGGUUGGGUGAACAUUCAGAUGUGGAAUCCGCAGUUAACAAGAGCCCAUCGUAUUAAUAUUUAUACAACAUUUUAUUGCAUAUCUAUCUACUUUUAUUCUACUUUGAAAUCUUUUGGGUUCAUUGAUGGUUUGAGGACUUAAAUUAAAAUUCCCUUUUAUGUUUUGGCUUUCAUAGUGUUCUUUGUCCCACAAUUUGGGGGGAUAUUCUUUCCUAAAUCGUUCAAACACUGAUACAGUUUCCUCAGAGUCUUAUCUACACUUGGAUAACUAAGGUUUGUAAAGUAAGUUAGUGUAAUGAAUAAUUUAGUUUUCAUGUUUUCUUUAAUAUGUUCACAUGUUAUUAUGGCCACUUGUAUUCCGAUGUGUGGCUAACAACUGCCUUUUUGGUUUUCCGUGUUAGGAUGAAGAAAAAAAAGGAGGAUAUGCAUCACUAAGAAUCAAAGGAAGUGCCUGACUCUAUAACAAAGAGAAAAGCUUCAAAAUGAUUGUACAACACGAAGACAGAAAUAACCAUGUUAAGAGGUCAUUGGUCUGACUUCUCCAGAAACUUCCCCUGGGCAGCGGUCUCUACCUCUGUUACAGAAGACUGCAAAAAUACCAGCCAUUGUGCAUCUGGCCAAUUAUGCAAUGUUCUAUCACGGGGGGAAAUUCCUUCCUCACUCCAGCUGGCUCCAGAUGCAGCUGCUGCCUGCGGACCCCCUGUACUGCCUGGGGAAGUGAGUCAGGACUCCUGCAGCGGAUGGGUGGGGCAGCUGCAAGAUGAUCUGAAGGUGGCCCAAACAACAGUGCUUUCCAGAUGUGGGUGAGGCUAUAGCCAAGAUCAUCACUGGGUUAAUCUGCCUAACUGAAGACUUUUACUGAAGAAAGUUUAGCUAACAACAUAUAAGUAUUCAUGUCUCAAGGACCCAGAGAAAGAUACAUUUUUGUUUCUCAAGAGGCGCAGCCCGUCUUUCUCUCCUGUAGAAGUGAAGGAAGCACCAGUUACCCUUCUGAUUUUAAUCAGAAAAUAUAAAUGUAAAAUAUGAAUUCGAUAAAAAUGUAAGCUUGGCUUUUACUAUUUCCUGAACAUGUGCUCAUUAUCUUUUAAUAAAUAAAGUGUACUUUAAGGGUGAUAAGAAGAAGGAGAACUUUAAAAAUUGUUAAUGAAUGUGGUUAACAUAUGUAGUGAAGCAAAGGCAUAGUUUAAGAUAAAUCCCAGUAAUACCAGGAAGAAAAUACAGUCAGUGGUUAAGGAAUCUGCGUUUGUGGUUGUUUUAAAGGUGGCUGAGUGUGCCGUACUCUGCAGAAGUGACUAGAAGGGGACAGAGGGCUGUGACAUGGGUCACUUUUGUUUCUCUUUGUGCUCCAAG